This 759-nucleotide ribosomal RNA is filed under the name Streptomyces sp. Its description in RNAcentral is "bacterial SSU rRNA". It matches the Rfam family "Bacterial small subunit ribosomal RNA", at positions 56 to 832 of the family's 1533-position model. The record is from RNAcentral. Lineage: Bacteria; Bacillati; Actinomycetota; Actinomycetes; Kitasatosporales; Streptomycetaceae.
UGCAGUCGACGAUGAACCUCCUUCGGGAGGGGAUUAGUGGCGAACGGGUGAGUAACACGUGGGCAAUCUGCCCUGCACUCUGGGACAAGCCCUGGAAACGGGGUCUAAUACCGGAUACGACUCGGGAGGGCAUCCUUCCGGGUGGAAAGCUCCGGCGGUGCAGGAUGAGCCCGCGGCCUAUCAGCUUGUUGGUGGGGUGAUGGCCUACCAAGGCGACGACGGGUAGCCGGCCUGAGAGGGCGACCGGCCACACUGGGACUGAGACACGGCCCAGACUCCUACGGGAGGCAGCAGUGGGGAAUAUUGCACAAUGGGCGAAAGCCUGAUGCAGCGACGCCGCGUGAGGGAUGACGGCCUUCGGGUUGUAAACCUCUUUCAGCAGGGAAGAAGCGCAAGUGACGGUACCUGCAGAAGAAGCGCCGGCUAACUACGUGCCAGCAGCCGCGGUAAUACGUAGGGCGCAAGCGUUGUCCGGAAUUAUUGGGCGUAAAGAGCUCGUAGGCGGCUUGUCGCGUCGGAUGUGAAAGCUCGGGGCUUAACCCCGGGUCUGCAUUCGAUACGGGCAGGCUAGAGUGUGGUAGGGGAGAUCGGAAUUCCUGGUGUAGCGGUGAAAUGCGCAGAUAUCAGGAGGAACACCGGUGGCGAAGGCGGAUCUCUGGGCCAUUACUGACGCUGAGGAGCGAAAGCGUGGGGAGCGAACAGGAUUAGAUACCCUGGUAGUCCACGCCGUAAACGUUGGGAACUAGGUGUUGGCGACAU